Haplochromis burtoni (Burton's mouthbrooder) is the source of this 1814-nucleotide long non-coding RNA. RefSeq lists it as uncharacterized. The transcript is spliced from 3 exons. The record is from RefSeq and is a predicted model, not a curated record. Lineage: Eukaryota; Metazoa; Chordata; Actinopteri; Cichliformes; Cichlidae.
GCAAGAGGGGACGGGUGGAGCCGAGGUUCAGGUGAGCACGAGGAAGAGGUGUAGCAAGCAGGUGAGUGACAAAAGAAUUGGCAAUGGUUUACCAGCAGCAGGUGACCAAGGUCCAGGGAAGCAGGGAUGACUGAGGCAAGAACCCCACUCCAGAAGCCGGCUAUGAAGACAGGAAAAAACAGGUGGCCGGCCAGAGAGGAGCAACCAGUCUCCACCCAGAGGAGGGCUGCUGCUGGAUAACUACAGACACUCCACAUCUGGGAGAAGAGCCGAAUGAAGAUGGAGAAAAAUGCUGCAGCCCGCUGAUAGCAGACCUUCAGUCAGAGAGGAUGGAGCUGUGAUGUUUCUAUCAGCAGACAAGCGAAUGAACGAACUUCCAGCUGAGCCUCUGAAGCCCCGUCAGCUGCCUCCCUCCUCUUCCUCCUGACCCUAUCCUCUGUCAGCCCUUUCUGUUGUCUCACAUUAUCCCCCCGUGCCACUCUGUGACUCUUUUCUUCUCUUUCGUAAAUGGUUAAAGUCACUCCUAGAAUAUGUUAUGUUCCUUUAUCGUCUCCGUUGACGCUUUCAUCACAGCUGUGAAACGCUUUCGUGUGAAAACAGCAGAGUCCCAUUAAUCAUUUCAGUCGACUGUCCAGUUCUGGUAUCAGUGUUUGAAUGUUUGAUGAGGUUUGGACUGCUGGAGGAUGUUCGGGUGGAGUCCAGUGGGAGUCGGUCCAGCUGCUGCUGCUGUUCAACAGCCUGAAGCUGUUUGCCUGAUCAUUAGUUCGCCUGAUGUUACUACUCAAACAGACCUUUUUUCUUUUUUCUUUUUUUUUUUUACACCGUAGUUUGGAAAUAUUAGAGCAUAUAAAUACAGAAUAUGUAUGAGCGACCCGAGGAGCAAUGAUUUCAACGGAUGUAAGCCUUUACAGUACCUCUGUUAUUUUUUUUACUUGCAUAUAUGCUUAUUUCCUUGAAAUCAUGCUAAGCUAAACAUGGACUCCAUCUGAAGUCCACUUGUUGUCAUAUUGAUAUGACUAAUUACAUUUUUCGCAGGCUUUGGUUGUGGCACAUAAACAGGAAACUGUGUGGGGAGCAAAGGAAAAGUAUUUGCAGAAAAGUGCCACGCAUCAGUUCAAAUUGUGUUCAAACGGGGAACGUAAAAUGUCAUAUACAUUAUUUUACAAAAAUACACAUUACAUGUACUUUAGUCAAAUCUUUCAGAGAUGUCUGCUGGCUACCUGAAACAUAUUUAAUACUUCUAUAGGAUGCUAAAAGUGACAACAUAGAGGAAACUUAAUGUCUUGUUUUGACAAAUUGCAGUAAUAUAUUCUCUUUUUUUAAAAAUAAAUAAAAAAGGUGAUAGCAGGGCUUAGAUUUCUCUGGCACUGUGAUGAAAUCUGAUGGCAGAUAGUUAUGUGCAUAGCAAAUAGUCUUCCUCAUUUUUUUCUAGCUGUCACAUAACUAGAAAAUGGCUGCAUGUAUUAAGCCAGACCUCCCUUAUGUCUUAGUCUGAUGUAUUUUAGACUAACAUACAAAGUAUAUGUGAAAAAUUUUAUCUUUAAGAUCCACUUAGUGAAAUAAACUUGUAUUACUAAAAAUAAAAGCCCGUGUUGUAUAUUAACAACAUUGUUUAAAUGUUGUUAAGAAGCAUAAUAAACCUGCAAGCUUUUUAAAUACGUGCUGUAAUACAUAUGCAGUUAUGCACACCAUGUCUUAUUUUUGUGACAGCGAUUUAAUUUAAUGGGUGAACCCUCAAAAGGGUUAAGAUGGUAGAAACAUGGACAAGAAGUGCUGUGUGAGAAGGUGGACGUCACAGAUGAAGGAAGAAAGAA